CUACCUCAAAUUAGGUGAGACUACCCGCUAAAUUUAAGCAUAUUAUUAAGCGGAGGAAAAGAAACUAACCAGGAUUUCAUUAGUAGCUGCGAGCGAACAUGAAAAAGCCCAGCACUGAAUCGUUAGUAUUUAUAUACUAAUGAAAUGUAGUGUUUAAGAAGGUUUUAUUACUCUAAAGUAGUUACUUUGUUUAAGUUUAUCUUGAAUGGGGCCAUGGUCCAUAGAAGGUGCCAGGCCUGUAAUAGCAAAGAACUGUCUUUAGAUAAACCUUUCUUUAGAGUGCAACCUUAAGUGGGUGGUAAACUCCAUCUAAGGCUAAAUAUUACCACGAGACCGAUAGUAAACAAGUACCGUGAGGGAAAGUUGAAAAGAACUUUGAAGAGAGAGUUCAAAAGUACGUGAAACCGUUUAGGGGUAAACGGAAAGGAACUGAAAAUCCGAAAAGGGAGAUUCACGUCUUCUCAUUUGUUGGUAAUAUAUUUUAUUUAGGAUAACUAAUAGGCUGUACAUUUAAUGUAUAAGUUUUAUUAAUUACCUAUGUAUAUAUUAACCAGCUAUGGUGGACCGCAUUUCUCUCUAAGUAGGACGUCGUGACCCACUUGCAUUAUUAAAUUCAAAGACAAGCAUAUUAAGUCUUGUUAUAAUUUUUUUUUGGAAAUUUAUAAUAAGUAGUUUGUUUUUGUUAAAAUAGCUGGUGGUAUAAAACGACAGUGGGAGCCGCUUUUUUUUUAGCGUAUAUUCUGCACUUAUAUUUGCAGUUUAGUUGAUUUAGUAAAAAGGUUUUCCUUUUUCUAGUCUACUUGCUGUUAUUUAUUAAGAGUAGUUAUAUGGGCUCACAACACUAGUCGACGGCGCUACAGUUUCAGUAACUUUUCCGACCCGUCGAAACACCCAAGGAGUCUAACAUGUGCGCAAGUCAUUGGGUUAAUAAACCUAAAGGCGAAACAAAAGUAAAGUAAGCAAUGCUUUAUAUAAGGAGGAUGGUUCUUAACAAUUUUUGUUAAAGCCCGCACUCCUGGGGCGUCUGUUACUCAUUGCGAGUUAAGGCGCACCUAGAGCGUACACGUUGGGACCCGAAAGAUGGUGAACUAUGCCUGGCCAGGAUGAAGCCAGGGGAAACCCUGGUGGAGGUCCGUAGCGAUUCUGACGUGCAAAUCGAUCGUCAGAGCUAGGUAUAGGGGCGUAAGACCAAUCGAACCCUCUAGUAGCUGGUUCCCUCCGAAGUUUCCCUCAGGAUAGCUGGUGCCGAUGAUGAUAUUGAGUCUCAUCCGGUAAAGCGAAUGAUUAGAGGCAUUGGGGCCGAAACGACCUCAACCUAUUCUCAAACUUUAAAUGGAUGAGAGCCCUGGCUUGCUUAAAAAUGAAGCCAGGGAAUUGGAUCUAGGUGCCAAGUGGGCCAAUUUUGGUAAUGUGGGAUGAACCAAACGCAAAGUUAAGGCGCCUAAAUCAACGCUCAUUAGACACCAUGAAAGGCGUUGGUUGCUUAAGACAGCAGGACGGUGGCCAUGGAAGUCGGAAUCCGCUAAGGAGUGUGUAACAACUCACCUGCCGAAGCAACUAGCCCUGAAAAUGGAUGGCGCUGUAGCGUUGUGCCUAUACUUUGCCGUCAACGGCAAAUUAAGCUUGCAUAUGAAAAUAUGUUUUGCUAUUAAGCCUUGACGAGUAGGAGGGUCGCAGCGAUGAGCGCAGAAGGGUCUGGGCGUAAGCCUGCCUGGAGCCGUCGCUGGUGCAGAUCUUGGUGGUAGUAGCAAAUACUCCAGCGAGGCCCUGGAGGGCUGUUGUGGAGAAGGGUUUCUUGUGAACAGCUGUUGCACAAGAGUCAGUCGAUCCUAAGCUCUAGGAGAAAUCCUAUGUUAAUUUGGUGCUAUAAAAUCAGAAAUGAAGGCAUCAGAUGAGCAAAAGGGAAUCUGGUUCCUAUUCCAGAACCUGGUAUCGGAACUGUUUCAAAUCGGGCCCUCAUAUGGACUCGUCGGGGUGACCCAAAAAGACCCGGAGAAGCCGUUGGGAUGUUUGGGGAGAGUUGUCUCUUCUCUAUAAGCGUUCGAGUUCCCUGGAAUCCUCUAGCAGGGAGAUAGGGUUUGGAACGCGAAGAGCAUCGCAGUUACGGCGGUGUCCAAAACAGUCCUUCGGACCAUGAAAAUCCGGGAGAGGGCAACGAGGAACACCGAACCAGAUCGUACCCAUAUCCGCAGCAGGUCUCCAAGGUGAAUAGCCUCUAGUCGAUAGAAUAAUGUAGGUAAGGGAAGUCGGCAAGUUCGAUCCGUAACUUCGGGAUAAGGAUUGGCUCUGAGGAUCGUGGCGUGCUGGGCUUGGUCGGGAAGUGGAGCGGUGUCAAGUGCCGGGCCUGGGUACGGUGUUAAAUUUAUUUAAUACUUAAGCUCGGUCCCGCGCCUUGGCCACCCACGGAUCUUCCUUGCAACAGUUUCUUAACUGCAGUUGCCGGUCUUACGGCUGGUAAACGGGUUUUGAUAUCUUUUCGGCCGCCUUUUAACGAUCAGCUCAGAACUGGCACGGACCAUGGGAAUUCGACUGUCUAAUUAAAACAGAGCAUUGCGAUGGCCCCGACGGGUGCUGACGCAAUGUGAUUUCUGCCCAGUGCUCUGAAUGUCAACGUGAAGAAAUUCAGAUAAGCGCGGGUAAACGGCGGGAGUAACUAUGACUCUCUUAAGGUAGCCAAAUGCCUCGUCAUCUAAUUAGUGACGCGCAUGAAUGGAUUAACGAAAUUCCCAUCUGUCCCUAUCUACUAUCUAGCGAAACCACUGCCAAGGGAACGGGCUUGGAAUGAUUAGCGGGGAAAGAAGACCCUGUUGAGCUUGACUCUAGUCUGGUACUGUAAGGGAACAUGAGAGGUGUAGCAUAAGUGGGAGACAGUGAAAUACCUGUCAACAAUGAAAUACCACUACUCUCAUAGUUUCCUUACUUAUUCGAUGAGGCGGAAGGCGUCUGCUUAGGGUUAUAUAACCCAAGUUAGACGGUAUUCUUGCGCCAAGCGCUAGGGUUGUCGAAUAGUUCAGUGAAAAUAUGAAAGUCUAUACAUCAGCAGACGUGAAAAUGUUGUACAGUAAACUUACGCUUUGAUUAUAAUAAAAAUUGUUCACGCAAAUAAUAAAAAUUUUCAUUUACUAUUUUACAUAGUGCACAUUAUAAACAAUGCUAAUGAAAUGCUCCAUGUUGUAGCUGUCUAUCGUCAACAUAAUCCCUAGCGUGAUCCGAUUCGAAGACACUAUCAGGCAGGGAGUUUGACUGGGGCGGUACAUCUGCCAAAUAAUAACGCAGGUGUCCCAAGGCCAGCUCAGCGAGGACAGAAACCUCGCGUAGAGCAAAAGGGCAAAUGCUGGCUUGAUCUCGAUGUUCAGUAUGCAUAGAGACUGCGAAAGCAUGGCCUAUCGAUCCUUUUAGCCUGAAGGGUUUUCAGCAAGAGGUAUCAGAAAAGUUACCACAGGGGUAACUGGCUUGUGGCAGCCAAGCGUUCAUAGCGACGUUGCUCUUUGAUCCUUCGAUGUCGGCUCUUCCUAUCAUUGCGAAGCAGAAUUCGCCAAGUGUCGGAUUGUUCACCCGCUAAUAGGGAACGUGAGCUGGGUUUAGACCGUCGCGAGACAGGUUAGUUUUACCCUACUAAUUAAAACGUUUUUGCGUUAGUAAUCCUGCUCAGUACGAGAGGAACCGCAGGUUCGGACAUAUGGUUCAUGCACUCGGUCGACAGGCCGGUGGUGCGAUGCUACCAUCCGUGGGAUUAUGCCUGAACGCCUCUAAGGCCGAAUCCCUUCUAAAUAGCAAAAAUACUUUUACGGGCCCCGUGAUGUCGAAAGGCUCACGCAAUGUGAUUGUAUAGGUGGUCAGCAAUUAAGUUUGAUCAUCGCAUACGCCUAUUGUAGUAGCUUAUUAUUUGUUUCAUUACUUAUUAUUAUAUAAAUAAUGUACAAAAUAAGUUUACAUUCAAUGGGUUACCCCUUUUGGGGAGUUCGAUGACGAGGCCCCGAAUAGUUUGUAGACGACUUGAACGCUGGGCGGGGUGUUGUACUCGGUUA
Molecule: ribosomal RNA, 4028 nt
Filed under: Machadonannus brailovskyi
Lineage: Eukaryota; Metazoa; Arthropoda; Insecta; Hemiptera; Schizopteridae
Description: partial large subunit ribosomal RNA
Rfam family: Eukaryotic large subunit ribosomal RNA
Source: RNAcentral